Molecule: non-coding RNA, 1102 nt
Organism: Chlorocebus sabaeus (green monkey)
Lineage: Eukaryota; Metazoa; Chordata; Mammalia; Primates; Cercopithecidae
Source: RefSeq, a predicted model, not a curated record
AAAAAAAAAAAAAAAAAAAAAAGGUGGUUUGAGAACAUAGGAGGCAGGACACAGAAGGGGUUAAAUACAGGAAGCCCUUUGUGGGUUUACUUUGUAUUCAUGCUAAGAGCAGAUGCAGGAUCUUUUUCCAGUUUCAGGCUGAGGAAGGCAUUUUUGUGUAUUCUUCUGAGUUAGAAGAUGAUCUUUGGCCUGAAUCAUACAAGCUAAAAUCAACUGGAGUUUUCAGGGGCUAAAAGAUUUUAAACGGAGAUAUUCUGCAACUAACAGUUAUAGACUUCUUUUUGAAGCAGAAUUUAAUGAAGGUUUAAUGAAGCAACACAAAGAGAAAGAGAAAUCACCUCAACUACCUGCCCUCCUCAGCCCUGGCUGCAUCUCCUACCUGUGGCACGACGGCUUCUCUGAAGCUAAGCCUAUGAAUAGAGGAUUUUUUGGAAAUGAGAAGAAAGUAUAAGCUUUCUAUUUAGUGAUGUAACUUAGCUUUGCGUGGACCUGCUGAGAAUGGAAUCUCAAGACGGCACCAAGGGUUUGGAGGCUGGGAAGUCCAAGAUCAAGCCAGUGACACAUACAGUGUCUGGGGAGAGCCUGCUUCUUGGUUCACAGGCUGGCCAUCUUCUCACUGUGUCCUUACAUGGUGGAAGAGACAAGAAAAUUCUCUGGAGUGCCACUUAUAGAAUCACCUUAGAGAAGGGCACUAACCCCAUUCAGGAAGGCUGUGAUCUCAUGAUCUAAUCAUCUUCUGAUAUGGUUUGGAUCUGUGUCCUUGCCCAAAUCUCAUGUGGAAUUGUAAUCCCCAGUGUUGGAGGUGGGACCUGUUGGAAGGUGACUGGGUCAUGGGGGCAGAAUUCUCAUGAUGGUUUUAUACCAUCCCUGUUGGUGCUGUUCUCCUGAUAGUGAGCGAGUUCUCAUGAAAUACGGUUGUUUAAAAGUGUGUAGCAUCCCCUCUGCCUCUUGUUCCUGCUGCCAACAUGUAAGACGUGCCUGCUUCCCCUUUGCCUUCCACUAUGAUUGUAAGUUUCCUGAGGCCUCCCUAGAAUCACAAGUUGCUAUGCUUCCUGUAGAACCUGCAGAUUUGUGAGCAAAUUGAACUUCUUUUCUUUAUAAA